Molecule: long non-coding RNA, 397 nt
Filed under: Helianthus annuus (common sunflower)
Lineage: Eukaryota; Viridiplantae; Streptophyta; Magnoliopsida; Asterales; Asteraceae
Description: hypothetical non coding rna
Source: RNAcentral
UUUGGGGUAACCAACUAAUCCUAAAAAAAUUCACGCAUACAUAGGAAGACAUCUCCCUCUCUCUCCCUUUCUUGCAGAGAUUCAGUCACACACACAAGAUCCAGCAUCUCAUUCUGGCCACUGAACUUUCUCUCCAUCGGUCUCUUCAUCGUUUAUUCACUUCGCGCUCAUUCUGAGGGAUGUUCAGAUGUUCCUUGUCCUGUUCGGACGGUUUUGACGGGAUUUCUGGGCCGAACAGGACUUGCAGAAAAAAAGGUGAAUAAUGCGGCCCCGAGUCACCCUUUGGUGGCUCACUUAGUCACUUACAUCUGAAACAAGCAUUUACAUUGUGGACACAUUAGGCCGUAAUAUUACGGUUGGAGAGGCUGAAAGAAGCAGAGUAACAAUUAUAGAGCUG